Molecule: ribosomal RNA, 1254 nt
Filed under: Moelleriella nanensis
Lineage: Eukaryota; Fungi; Ascomycota; Sordariomycetes; Hypocreales; Clavicipitaceae
Description: partial large subunit ribosomal RNA
Rfam family: Eukaryotic large subunit ribosomal RNA
Source: RNAcentral
UUUGAAAUCUGGCCCCCCCGGGGGGCCCGAGUUGUAAUUUGCAGAUUGUGCUUUUGGCGAGGCGCCUUCCGAGUUCCCUGGAACGGGACGCCACAGAGGGUGAGAGCCCCGUCUGGUCGGCCGCCGAGCCUCUGUAAAGCACCUUCGACGAGUCGAGUAGUUUGGGAAUGCUGCUCAAAAUGGGAGGUAUAUGUCUUCUAAAGCUAAAUACCGGCCAGAGACCGAUAGCGCACAAGUAGAGUGAUCGAAAGAUGAAAAGCACCUUGAAAAGGGGGUUAAACAGUACGUGAAAUUGUUGAAAGGGAAGCGCUCGCGACCAGACUUGGGCCCGGCGGAUCACUCGGCGUUCUCGCCGGGGCACUCCGCCUCGUCCCAGGCCAGCAUCGGUUCGCGCCGGGGGACAAAGGCGGCGGGAACGUGGCUCCCCCGGGAGUGUUAUAGCCCGCCGCGGAAUGCCCUGGGGCGGACCGAGGACCCGCGCAUCUGCAAGGAUGCUGGCGUAAUGGUCACCAGCGACCCGUCUUGAAACACGGACCAAGGAGUCGUCUUCGUAUGCGAGUGUUCGGGUGUCAAACCCCUACGCGUAAUGAAAGUGAACGCAGGUGAGAGCUUCGGCGCAUCAUCGACCGAUCCUGAUGUUCUCGGAUGGAUUUGAGUAGGAGCAUACGGGGCCGGACCCGAAAGAAGGUGAACUAUGCCUGUGUAGGGUGAAGCCAGAGGAAACUCUGGUGGAGGCUCGCAGCGGUUCUGACGUGCAAAUCGAUCGUCAAACAUGGGCAUGGGGGCGAAAGACUAAUCGAACCUUCUAGUAGCUGGUUUCCGCCGAAGUUUCCCUCAGGAUAGCAGUGUUGAGCUCAGUUUUAUGAGGUAAAGCGAAUGAUUAGGGACUCGGGGGCGCUAUACAGCCUUCAUCCAUUCUCAAACUUUAAAUAUGUAAGAAGCCCUUGUUGCUCAGGUGAACGUGGGCCUUCGAAUGUAUCAACACUAGUGGGCCAUUUUUGGUAAGCAGAACUGGCGAUGCGGGAUGAACCGAACGCGAGGUUAAGGUGCCGGAGUGGACGCUCAUCAGACACCACAAAAGGUGUUAGCACAUCUUGACAGCAGGACGGUGGCCAUGGAAGUCGGAAUCCGCUAAGGACUGUGUAACAACUCACCUGCCGAAUGUGCUAGCCCUGAAAAUGGAUGGCGCUCAAGCGUCCCACCCAUACCUCGCCCUCGGGGCAGAAGCGAAGCCCCGAGGAGUAGGCGGACGUG